Musa acuminata AAA Group (dessert banana) is the source of this 2335-nucleotide long non-coding RNA. RefSeq lists it as uncharacterized. NCBI's taxonomy places the organism in Eukaryota, Viridiplantae, Streptophyta, Magnoliopsida, Zingiberales, Musaceae. The record is from RefSeq and is a predicted model, not a curated record. The transcript has 2 exons.
UCGAGGCAUAGUCUUUCCCCUGCUCUGGAUGUCCUCUACCUCGUAUCGCUUUCCCUUUGUCUUUCUUGAUUUGAUCUAAUGUAUCUUGUUGAAGGUUCUGCAGGACUCGAUCAUCUGCCCCGGUGUUCUUGGAUCUGUGAGUCGGCGAAUCGCAAAGUCUCGAUCGCGUGUACGAUUCUUGGAUCGAUCGUCCGUGCUCAUAGAGACUGUGUUGAAUUCGAGACUGUUGACGCGUCUGAAUGACCUUAACCCUCUUUCCUUCUUGUCUGGAUUUGAGCAAGACAGAGGCGCAUGCUCUCGUCUUGAUGCUGAACGGAAGGUGAAUCCGAUCGUCCUUGCCCUCGAAAUGGUUUAUUCCGUUGGAUGGUUCUUCCCGUAGCCGUGAAUUUGAGUUGUCUUGUUGUUUCUCCUCUCUCGUUCUUUUCUCUGUAAUGUUGUUUUACGCUUUCACUGUUCAGAAUGGUUCGGUUUCCCUCUCUCUCGAGAUCAAUCCGGUAAACUGCCGUGGUGCGUAUGAGGCCAAUGCAUCACGGCCGUUAAUUAGAUGGGGUAAACCGGGAUAAUCAAACCAUGGGUUUACAAUCCGUUGCUGUUUGCGAGCAGGCAGGAGACACAAGCAUGCUUGCGGGACCCACCCUAUAGAGUUCUUAUUUUAUUCGAAAUUUCAAAUACAUCCACAUGGGUUGAAUAAAUAAGACGGGUUCGUAAGCCGACGGGUCGGAUCGAGCGAUUUCUCGCCCGACCCAAAUCGGGCGCGCUUCCUUUCCCUAUAAAUAUCUGCGAGGAAGGCGGUUGUGUCGGUUCUUUCCCCUUUCUUUGAGGCAGAGCUCAGGGAGAGCGCAGGGUUACUACCUCCUCCCCAAUGCCGAUCAACGACGGACCCGAGCAUGUGCCUCGUCGGGGUUCUCGGAUCGGCUUCAGAUUCGUGAUGUGUGUAUGAUCCAGACCCUAAAUCUUCUCUCCUCUCUAGAUGCUUUGUCUUCCGAUCGUAAAAGGAUGAUGAAAGGGUAGCUCGGUUAGGCAUCGAUAUCUUAUAUCAUCAGUUGCUUGAUUAUGAUAGCACAUCUUUUCUUUUCUUUUGAUGUUGUAUGUAUCAACAUCUUUGUGUCAGGUACUCUAGCAAAUUGUAUUUGUAGAGAUGAUACUGUAUCACCAAAGAAGUUAGUCUUGCAGGUGCAUGGGAAGUUUAUAAAUUUUAUUUGCUUCGUUUCUUGCUUACCUUUAUCAGGAUGUCUUUAGAGGUUUUAAGGUUUCAUUUUAUGCCUGUAUUUUCUUGAAAGAUGACUCGCUUCUCAUGUUUAUUUUGGUUCUCUCAUUUUAGCAGUAUCUAGCUCUUGUUGUUUGUUCCGUUUGAUCAAACACUCCUUUAGCUAAUUUAUUGAUGCAUUCAUCUCUUUCUUUGCUCCAUUGGAGUUUUCUGUUUUAUGUUUUGUAUCUGGCCCCCCCUCGUAAUUGUCUGAUUUCGCAUUAUUCCAAAUGGAAUGAUGGUGUCUGUUUGCAAAAGGUUCUGUUGGUUGGUCGCAAUAUAGACCUUCUAGCAAGGUGAAUAUUUUCUUAAAACGAUUAGUUCCUUGCUUUUGCAGGAUCAACUAAGUAGUCUGGAAUCCAGAUUUUGCUGACCCCAAAUAGUUGUGGCAUUAAUUUUGUUAUUAUUAGAAUAUGGAGUCCAGAUUUUGGCUUGGUGUUUAAACUUUUUGCAUGUCGAUAAAUGAAUGAAGGUAUAAAUUUAGUGUUUAUAGUUUAACAUUGUAGGUAAUUGUGAUUGUUUCAUGUCUAAGUUAUUUUUGUUUAUUACAGUCAUCAUUAUUGAUGUAAGGCAUACUUGUAUAUCAGAUGUAACUUUUUCAAAAAGGAAGACAUCCUUUUCUGUUCCAAAAUUACAGUGCAUAACAUAUGCUAGAUUGGUUCUAUUCUUGGUAGUUCUCUUGCAUAGUCUCCAGUCUCCACUGCUAUCUUUUUUCUCAAGGGGAUAUUUUUAUUCUCUAUGGUUCAUGUUGCUUGUAGAAAUGAUCAAAAUGGAGAACCUGUUUUUUUUUUGGCUAGUCAUCUAUUUUCCAGCUGGUAGAAAUGGUCACCGUUCAUGUGUUGUCUUUUGUUCCGCUUUGUUUCAGGAUCAAAUUUUCAAAUGAUCUACCCUGUUUAGCACGCGUUCUUAAUUAGUUUCUACUUGAAGGGUGUUUUAGUUUAUUUAGUUUUCUAUUGGAAUAUCUUGAUUUUGUUAUUCUGAUUCCAAACUGAAUUCAUCUACAAUGUGUGUCUUGGAAUUCUUCAGUUAUGCAGUCUUUUGUAGAACAUAAUUGCGGUUGUUUUCUUAUAUCAUAUGACCUCCUCCUCA